AUGUUAUUGCAAAGCUCUUAUCUGUUAUCUAUCAUUCAGGCCUGUCACCUCCGCAUUCCUUUCAUAUAUGAUGAUGAUCAUUCCAAAAUCCCAAACCAUUACUCGCGUCAAAGUGGAAUCGAGACAAGUUCAGUUUGCACACACAUGUACAUAUAUACGUACUAUAUAACAACAGAAUAUGCACAUUCUGGUGUUAUCUAUCCUGCAUAUUCUGCAAUGCAUUGUGUGCCAGAGCUGUGCGUUGAAAGAACGGAACUACAUACACCACAUUUUCAAGACCCGAGUGCUGAAACAAAAUCAAAGUGA
This 306-nucleotide ribosomal RNA is filed under the name Triticum aestivum (bread wheat). RNAcentral's name for it is "partial small subunit ribosomal RNA". The record is from RNAcentral. Lineage: Eukaryota; Viridiplantae; Streptophyta; Magnoliopsida; Poales; Poaceae.